UCCAGACUCCUACGGGAGGCAGCAGUGGGGAAUAUUGCACAAUGGGGGAAACCCUGAUGCAGCGACGCCGCGUGAGUGAAGAAGUAUCUCGGUAUGUAAAGCUCUAUCAGCAGGGAAGAAAGAAAUGACGGUACCUGAGUAAGAAGCCCCGGCUAACUACGUGCCAGCAGCCGCGGUAAUACGUAGGGGGCAAGCGUUAUCCGGAAUUACUGGGUGUAAAGGGAGCGUAGACGGUGAAGUAAGUCUGGAGUGAAGGGCAGGGGCCCAACCCCUGGACUGCUCUGGAAACUGUUGUACUUGAGUGCAGGAGAGGUAAGUGGAAUUCCUAGUGUAGCGGUGAAAUGCGUAGAUAUUAGGAGGAACACCAGUGGCGAAGGCGGCUUACUGGACUGUAACUGACGUUGAGGCUCGAAAGCGUGGGGAGCAAACAGGAUUAGAUACCCCGGUA
RNAcentral lists this ribosomal RNA (448 nucleotides) under uncultured bacterium. Its description in RNAcentral is "bacterial SSU rRNA". It matches the Rfam family "Bacterial small subunit ribosomal RNA", at positions 330 to 792 of the family's 1533-position model. The record is from RNAcentral.